RNAcentral lists this ribosomal RNA (497 nucleotides) under uncultured bacterium. RNAcentral describes it as "partial 16S ribosomal RNA". It matches the Rfam family "Bacterial small subunit ribosomal RNA", at positions 28 to 507 of the family's 1533-position model. The record is from RNAcentral.
GAUGAACGCUGGCGGCGUGCCUAACACAUGCAAGUCGAGCGAACGGACGAGAAGCUUGUUUCUCUGAUGUUAGCGGCGGGCGGGUGAGUAACACGUGGAUAACCUACCUAUAAGAGUUGGAUCAGUUCGGGAAACCGGAUAUAAUACCGGAUAAUAUCUUGAACCGCAUGGAUCAAAAGUAAAAAACUGUCUUGCUGUGACAUGUAGAUGUAUACGCGCUGCAUUAGCUAGUUGUUAAGGUAACGGCUUACCAAGGCAGCGAUGCAAAGCUGACGUGAAAGGCUGAACCGCUACCCUGGAGCAGAGACACACUCCAGACACCUACGGGAGGAAGCAGUAGCGACUCUUACGCAAUGGUCACAAGCCUGACGGUGCACCGCCGCGUCAGUGACGACGGCCUUCUGAUCGUAAGACUAUGUUCCUAGGGAAGAACGUAUCUGUAAGUCUCUAGUCACAUCAUGACGGUACCUAAUAAGAAAGCCACGGCUAACUACGUG